Molecule: long non-coding RNA, 450 nt
Filed under: Bos taurus (domestic cattle)
Lineage: Eukaryota; Metazoa; Chordata; Mammalia; Artiodactyla; Bovidae
Description: long non-coding RNA NONBTAT014990
Source: RNAcentral
UUCUAGGGCUACAGGAUAUUCCUUAAGUUGUAAUAGGUGCUUCUGGAUGACGAGACAAAGAGUUGUUUCACUAAAUUUUUUGUUUUAAUCCUCUUUAAAAAUAUAAGCUUGAAUCUGUGCCACUCAACCCAAGGGCUCUGUGAAGUUUUUCCAUUUGAACAGCUGGGGGAGCUUGUAGGCAGCAAAUCUUUUCAUUCUCUGUGUUCUUACAAAUAGACCCAAUGACUCAGUCGUAAGCAUGAGUGUCAGCUUUUACAGAUAGUCCCAGUAAUGACUUAACCAAGCUGCAGAGUUCUAGGGGCUUGGAGAUACUGCCAGGCUUAACUAAAAGUAUGAGUCUGAAGGAAGACAAGAGGCAGAACUGGCUCCGUGGUCUGUGGUGUCCCAAGAAGCGGUGGAGGAGGGGGUCUUUAAAGUAAUGUUUCAACAAAGCGAGACUUUGUCAAAGAC